CACAUACAGUAUGUUGUGCUUCAUCCAUGUCAUUGCACUCACCUAUAACACAUUUAUUUUAUUGUCUUUUUCCCGCAGCAAACAGUUUAAUGUAAACACUCUGUACAUGGGCCUGUGAGACAGGCCUACCACCUACGUCCAGGAAACCCCAGGACAGGGCACCCUGCAGCCCACGUCCAGCCUCCCACCCUCAGGGUCACUCAGGAAAGGAAGAGCAAAGUGCAUCAUGUUCAUAAAGAAAAACAGCCUCGGGUGGGCCCAGGCCAGAGAGCCUCCAAGUUGGUGUUUGUCUGGUGGCUGCUGGGCUCACAAAUCCUCCUUAGCUUGGGCGAGACAUGCAAUGAUGCCGGCCAGGUCAGCGGCCUUGUCCAGCUUGAGGACAGGGGCAGCCAAGACCUGGAGCUGGAAACCGCAUCUGCCCACAGCCACAGCCUCCUGCACCUGUCAUCCUGGUGGGAUGCUGGCAUCGGACAAGCAGCAGGCGCCGAGCUCCUGCAGCGGGCACCGCUACAGCCACGUGUCCUGGCGCAGGCGGCAAUGGAAGGCGGCCUCCCGGCGCUGCUCCCGAGGCCCCAGGACCAGGGGUGUGGCCAGCAAGGCCUUCACGCCCCGCGUCUGUUCGACAUCGUCCUCUCGAGGUGGCUGGACGGGAGCAAGGCUCGCAGCAGGACGCGACUGCAGGGCUCAGGAUCCCGUACUCUGGCGCUGCAGCACCGUGCCUUUCAGCAACCGCUGGAACUCCUGCAUCAGCGCUUCUCUCGGGUGGGAUGCUGGGGCCCGGGGGUCCUGGCGGGGCGAACUUCAGCUUCUUGUCUUGGUCUCUGCUUUUAUUGAUGUUAAACCUUUGUCACUGUGCCGGGAAAAGCAUCCAGGCGUCCCUGAUGUCCACACUGCGUGGGCGCUCAGUCGGACUCAGCCAACGGGCGGCUCUCCCCAGGGCUUGCCGGCAGCUUGUUCCCGGAGGGCGGCUCCUCUUGGAAGCAGCUCCUCCUGGAAGCAGCUCCUUGUGGGCGCACCAGGCUCAGGGGAGCCAAGGCCCGCCGCGGUCAGCAGGUCUGUGGAGGGGAAGGGUAAAGCGGGCUCUGCUGGGCUGCAUACCAGGACCAUGCGAGUGGCGGGUCAGUCUGGUCUCCAAGCACAGCCUCUCGGGAUUCCCCGGGUCCCAUGGCUUAUAAUGCUCUUGAAUCCCACACCUUCCCCGGGAGACAGCAUGUCACCAUCACCGCCCAGCGCCCCCUGAUCUGUUCCCACUGGUUCUGCAGCGGAGGGUGUGUGGGGGAGAGAGGGCCUCAGGGGAAGGAAAAGCGUGGGGUGGGCGAAUAUCUUCAUAAGCUUUUUCCCAUCUGUAUGCCAUCUCUGAUGGGUGCCUUUUUAGAUCUUCUGUCCAUUUAUUAAUCGGGUUGUUUGAUUUCUUAUUGCUGAGUUGUAAGUGGUUUUUAAUGGCCUGGAGGCCAGACCGGUGUUUUGCAAAUAUUUUCUAGCUGUCUGUGGCUUGUUUCUCUAUUCUCUUAACAUUUCCUUUCCCAGAGCAAAAGUUUUUAAUUGUAACAAAGUCAUACCGGUAUCGUCUUUCAUGGUAGAAAUUUGUCUUGUAUGUACUUUAGUGUUGCAUCUGCAAAGUAAUGCCAAACCCAAAGUUACCUAAAUAUCUAUCCCUUUUGUUAUUUUACAAAAGUUUUACAGCUUUUUUAUUUAAAUUUAGGUCUAAAAAUUGAAUUCGUAAAAGUAGAGAGUAGAGGCCGGGCACGGUGGCUCACGCCUGUAAUCCCAGCACUUUGGGAGGCCCAGGCGGGCAGAUCAUGAGGUCAGGAGAUUGAGGGGAUCCUGGCUAACACGGUGAAACCCCGUCUCUACUAAAAAUACAAAAAAUUUUCCGGAUGUGAUGGCACACGCUUGUAGUCCCAGCUACUCAGGAGGCUGAGGCAGGAGAAUCACUUGAACCCUAGAGGCAGAGGCCUCAGUGAGCAGAGAUUGCGCCACUGCACUUCACCCUGGGUGACAGAGCGAGACUCCGUCUCAAAAGAUAGUAGAGAGUAGAAUGAUUAUUAUGGGAGGCUGUGUUGCAGGGUAGAAAAUGGGAAGUUGUUCACAGGUGCAAAGAUUCAGUUAAAGCAGGAGACAUACGCUUUUAAAUCUAUUGCACAGCAGGAUGACUAUAGUCAAUAAUAAUGUAUGUAUUGCAUAUUUCAAAAUAACAAAAAGUAAAUUUCAAAUGUCCAACCACAAAAAAUAAAAUGGAG
This 2240-nucleotide long non-coding RNA is filed under the name Piliocolobus tephrosceles (Ugandan red Colobus). RNAcentral's name for it is "lncRNA (ENSPTEG00000014390.1)". Lineage: Eukaryota; Metazoa; Chordata; Mammalia; Primates; Cercopithecidae. The record is from RNAcentral.